UCUGCUUCUCUUAACAGUAUUCGUGCCUGUGAAUUAAUUUCUAUGGUUCCUGGGUAAUGAGGAGAUGGGAAGCAGAAAUUAAUGUUCCUCUCGCUAUCCAGUGCAGAACUUCUUGUGUUGCGAUUGGACGUCGAGGAACUACACUU
Triticum aestivum (bread wheat) is the source of this 146-nucleotide non-coding RNA. The record is from Rfam. NCBI's taxonomy places the organism in Eukaryota, Viridiplantae, Streptophyta, Magnoliopsida, Poales, Poaceae.